UUGAGUCCAAAAUGCAUGUCAUGAUCAUUAAGGCUAGUUAUAUAAAAAAAAUAAAAAUAAAAAACUCUUCCAUCUGUCUUUCGACAGGGGGCAUUUUUUGUUAAUACUUGUUUCUUUGCAUCAUUUGUGUCCUUCACUUUGAGUCAGUCCUUGACAAAACAAGCAAGAAAAGAUUUCAAAAUCUGCUACCAGCUUUUCAGUUGCAUAAAGUAAAAUUGGCCUGCACUCAGUUGUUAUUGUCAAUAUACCUUGAAGAUUCAUACAAAGGCUUCCCCAAAAAGACUCUUCUCAGCCUAAUCGGUGCAAGAAAGAUAACUGGUGAUUCUCUUUGAUAGAAAAAUUUCUCAAAAAGCAGAAAGCCAUUCAAGAUAUCGGAAAAAGUCACCUAAGCAAAGAUCUCCAGUUGGGAUAAGACAGAUCGAGCCGCAAAUACAAAUGGUACUGGGUGUGAAGCAAUUAGGGUUGAUGCAGAGCAAAAGUCUCCUAAAGCUGACUCAAGCUGAUUGAGCAGAAGCCAAGCUGCCCAAAGACUCAAGGCCACAAACCGACCACCAUUUUCAAAAUUGACAUAUUUUUCUUUGUAUGAAACAGGAACAAAGCGGUGCAAGGAAAGUGAUUCAAAAGGAGAAAAAAUGAAAAAAAUAAAAAAAAUAAAAAAAGAGAAGAAAAAGAAAAGACGAGAAGAGCCGACAAAGGGAAGUUUCUCAAAUCUUUGUCUUUAUUUGUCUUGCUAUUGUGCAUAAAAUCUUGCCAUUGAUCUUCACAUUUUUUCUCCUAGGAUAAAAAGUCCUAGUCUGAUGGAUUUUCCUCCCAAUCGAAAUCUUAGUCUGAUGAAUUUUUCUCCUAAGAUAGAAAACCUAGUCUGAUGAAUUUUCUCCUAGGAUCGAAAUCUUAGUGUGAUGAAUUUUUCUCCUAAGAUAGAAAACCUAGUCUGAUGAACUUUCUCCCAGGAUCAAAAUCUUAGUCUGAUGAAUCUUUCUCCUAAGAUAAGAAGACUUAGUCUGAUGAAUUUUCUCCUAGGGUAAACGUCUUAGUCUGAUGAAUCUUUUUCCUAAGAUACCAAAAAAAC
This 1069-nucleotide long non-coding RNA is filed under the name Nicotiana tabacum (common tobacco). RNAcentral's name for it is "long non-coding RNA (NTAB_LNC019078)". The record is from RNAcentral. Lineage: Eukaryota; Viridiplantae; Streptophyta; Magnoliopsida; Solanales; Solanaceae.